This 394-nucleotide long non-coding RNA is filed under the name Calidris pugnax (ruff). Its description in RNAcentral is "lncRNA (ENSCPUG00000012390.1)". The record is from RNAcentral. Lineage: Eukaryota; Metazoa; Chordata; Aves; Charadriiformes; Scolopacidae.
AGUUGACCAUUGGUGGUCCAGACCUUGAGUUGAUCAUCGCUGGUGGGGUUGGAUCAGUCCUGGACUGGUCCAUCCCAGUUGUACUGGGUGGGAACUGGUGGGGUCGAUCUUGAAGACUUCGAUUGAUCAUUGGUUGGGUUGAUUUUCUUGGAGCCCCUGGUUGACCAUUGGUGGUCUGUUGGAGGUCCAGCCCUGGAGUUGGUCAUCACUGGUGGGGUCAGACCAGUCCUGGACUGGUCCAUCCCAGUUGUACUGGGUGGGAACUGGUGGGGUUGAUCUUGAAGACCUCGAUUGACCAUGGGUUGGGUUGAUCUUGAAGACCUCGAUUGACCAUGGGUUGGGUUGAUCUUGAAGCCCCUGGUUGACCAGUGGUGCUCCAGAGCUUGGGUAGGUC